Molecule: ribosomal RNA, 253 nt
Filed under: uncultured bacterium
Lineage: Bacteria
Description: partial 16S ribosomal RNA
Rfam family: Bacterial small subunit ribosomal RNA
Source: RNAcentral
UACGUAGGGUGCAAGCGUUAAUCGGAAUUACUGGGCGUAAAGCGUGCGCAGGCGGUGAUGCAAGACAGAUGUGAAAUCCCCGGGCUUAACCUGGGAACUGCAUUUGUGACUGCAUUGCUGGAGUGCGGCAGAGGGGGAUGGAAUUCCGCGUGUAGCAGUGAAAUGCGUAGAUAUGCGGAGGAACACCGAUGGCGAAGGCAAUCCCCUGGACCUGUACUGACGCUCAUGCACGAAAGCGUGGGGAGCAAACAGG